RNAcentral lists this ribosomal RNA (1172 nucleotides) under Escherichia coli. RNAcentral's name for it is "bacterial SSU rRNA". It matches the Rfam family "Bacterial small subunit ribosomal RNA", at positions 36 to 1192 of the family's 1533-position model. Lineage: Bacteria; Pseudomonadati; Pseudomonadota; Gammaproteobacteria; Enterobacterales; Enterobacteriaceae. The record is from RNAcentral.
CCGAGGCGGGAUGCCUUAACAUGCGGUCGUACGGUAACAGGAAGCAGCUUGCUGCUUCGCUGACGAGUGGCGGACGGGUGAGUAAUGUCUGGGAAACUGCCUGAUGGAGGGGGAUAACUACUGGAAACGGUAGCUAAUACCGCAUAACGUCGCAAGACCAAAGAGGGGGACCUUCGGGCCUCUUGCCAUCGGAUGUGCCCAGAUGGGAUUAGCUAGUAGGUGGGGUAACGGCUCACCUAGGCGACGAUCCCUAGCUGGUCUGAGAGGAUGACCAGCCACACUGGAACUGAGACACGGUCCAGACUCCUACGGGAGGCAGCAGUGGGGAAUAUUGCACAAUGGGCGCAAGCCUGAUGCAGCCAUGCCGCGUGUAUGAAGAAGGCCUUCGGGUUGUAAAGUACUUUCAGCGGGGAGGAAGGGAGUAAAGUUAAUACCUUUGCUCAUUGACGUUACCCGCAGAAGAAGCACCGGCUAACUCCGUGCCAGCAGCCGCGGUAAUACGGAGGGUGCAAGCGUUAAUCGGAAUUACUGGGCGUAAAGCGCACGCAGGCGGUUUGUUAAGUCAGAUGUGAAAUCCCCGGGCUCAACCUGGGAACUGCAUCUGAUACUGGCAAGCUUGAGUCUCGUAGAGGGGGGUAGAAUUCCAGGUGUAGCGGUGAAAUGCGUAGAGAUCUGGAGGAAUACCGGUGGCGAAGGCGGCCCCCUGGACGAAGACUGACGCUCAGGUGCGAAAGCGUGGGGAGCAUACAGGAUUAGAUACCCUGGUAGUCCACGCCGUAAACGAUGUCGACUUGGAGGUUGUGCCCUUGAGGCGUGGCUUCCGGUGCUAACGCGUUAAGUCGACCGCCUGGGGUGUACGGCCGCAAGGUUUAAAACUCAUAUGAAUUGACGGGGGCCCGCACAAGCGGUGGUAGCAUGUGGUUUUAUUUCGAUGCAACGCGAAGAACCUUUACCUGGGUCUUGACAUCCACAGUACUUUCCCAGAGAUGAAAUAGGUGCCUUUCGGGAACCUGUGAGACAAGUGCUGCAUGGCUGUCGUCAGCUCGUGGUUGUGAAUGUUGGAUUAGUUCCCGCAACGUGCGCUCCUUAUCCUUUUGUUGCCCAGCCGUUCGUCGGGUACUUCAUAGGAUACUGCAGGUGCAUUAACUGGAGUUAGGUGUGGAGAAUAGUAC